UGUCCUGAAACAUUGUAGUUCACACCUUGAGAAGGUGUCCUCUUCAUCUGAGGUGAAAUUGGUCUGUGGAAACUAGGACUUUUAUUUUUAUGAUUUUCUGAAUGUAUGGACAAAAAAGGAUGAUAACUGGACAGAACUCACAUGCAGUGUGAUGAGCUCAUGACGUCACAACAGUGAAGCUACUGCGCCGCCAUCUUGGUAUUCCCUAACAUUCUGUACUCCUAUGUGUCUCAAUGGGAAAUCAUCUGUUUUGGUGAGUAAUUUGUACCCAUCCAGUCACAUUAAAACACAUUUCUUAUGUCUGCAUACACUGUAUCACAAUGCAAUCUUCCUAAAUAUGUAAUUCAUUAUUUAUUUUGACUUUAAUUUCCCCCCCCUGCUUAUUCUAAAUGUGAGCGUGUUAUGUUACUCUUUAUUGCAGCAGCAUUACGUUCA
Molecule: long non-coding RNA, 435 nt
Organism: Xyrauchen texanus (razorback sucker)
Lineage: Eukaryota; Metazoa; Chordata; Actinopteri; Cypriniformes; Catostomidae
Exons: 3
Source: RefSeq, a predicted model, not a curated record